RNAcentral lists this ribosomal RNA (253 nucleotides) under uncultured bacterium. Its description in RNAcentral is "partial 16S ribosomal RNA". It matches the Rfam family "Bacterial small subunit ribosomal RNA", at positions 524 to 776 of the family's 1533-position model. The record is from RNAcentral.
GACGUAGGGGGCGAGCGUUGUCCGGAAUCACUGGGCGUAAAGAGCUCGUAGGCGGGGUUGCACGUCUUGGAGUAAAUCCAUCUGCUUAACGGAUGGGUCGUCUGAGAUACGGCAGCUCUUGAGGACAGAAGAGGAAAGCAGAAUUCCGGGUGUAGCGGUGAAAUGCGUAGAUAUCCGGAGGAAUACCAGUGGCGAAGGCGGCUUUCUGGUCUGAUUCUGACGCUGAGGAGCGAAAGCCAGGGGAGCGAACGGG